RNAcentral lists this ribosomal RNA (496 nucleotides) under uncultured bacterium. RNAcentral describes it as "partial 16S ribosomal RNA". It matches the Rfam family "Bacterial small subunit ribosomal RNA", at positions 29 to 507 of the family's 1533-position model. The record is from RNAcentral.
ACGAACGCUGGCGGCGUGCCUAAUACCUGCCCGUUGAGCGCUGAAGGUUGGUACUUGUACCAACUGGAUGAGCAGCGAACGGGUGAGUAACGCGUGGGGAAUCUGCCUUUGAGCGGGGGACAACAUUUGGAAACGAAUGCUAAUACCGCAUAAAAACUUUAAACACAAGUUUUAAGUUUGAAAGAUGCAAUUGCAUCACUCAAAGAUGAUCCCGCGUUGUAUUAGCUAGUUGGUGAGGUAAAGGCUCACCAAGGCGAUGAUACAUAGCCGACCUGAGAGGGUGAUCGGCCACAUUGGGACUGAGACACGGCCCAAACUCCUACGGGAGGCAGCAGUAGGGAAUCUUCGGCAAUGGACGAAAGUCUGACCGAGCAACGCCGCGGGAGUGAAGAAGGUUUUCGGAUCGUAAAACUCGGUUGGUAGAGAAGAACGUUGGUGAGAGUGGAAAGCUCAUCAAGUGACGGUAACUACCCAGAAAGGGACGGCUAACUACGUG